This 18-nucleotide non-coding RNA is filed under the name Mus musculus (house mouse). The record is from RNAcentral. Lineage: Eukaryota; Metazoa; Chordata; Mammalia; Rodentia; Muridae.
UAGUGGGUGGCAAAAAAA